Molecule: long non-coding RNA, 1836 nt
Organism: Gadus macrocephalus (Pacific cod)
Lineage: Eukaryota; Metazoa; Chordata; Actinopteri; Gadiformes; Gadidae
Exons: 3
Source: RefSeq, a predicted model, not a curated record
CUGGUCCAGGCAGAGUCGGCCCUGACAUGGAGGUGGACAUUCUCCUGCCCUGACUCUGGAAGAAGGGCUCUUCGGUGAUCCGGGCCACCCGGUGGCGAGUCGAGACGCACGAGUGGAGCAGCAUUUGUUCGGAGUCCUGUUGAUAGUAUGCCUUUGUACAGCAUCUCUCGAUUUCCUCUCUCCGAAUUACGAACUAAUGCUGGUACCUCCGAACAUCACAUCACUUCAACUCUCUCAAGGCUCAGAAUGGCCAACGAACCAAUUCCAUGAGGAAUGGGGAUGUACGAGCCCUGUUGUGAGGCUUACAUCGGUUGUUCUAAUUGGCAGAACCCCAAUUAGAGAAUUCAGACCUGUAUCUAACUUUUUUAUGUUGAGAUUAUCCACGAGUGAGGUGCUACCAACAAAGCCCACCCGGAGGCGACAUUUAGUUACGCAAUAAUGUUGGGGAUUACUCGUUUUACCGCUAUGAAUUGAGUAAUCCUUUAGUACAGACUUGGUGAUUCAACCUUUUUAAGCCCAAGAUCUCUGACCUCGACCUGUGUGAAAGGCAAGAUCUACCUAUUGAAGACUUGAGAAAAAACAGACAGCGCAGAAUGUAUUUCCAAUUAAAGGCCUUUUAUUGAGUCUAAUUGUAUGAAUUACAUGUAAUUCUUUGCUCAGCUUUUUUUUAAUGCAAUCAAUCAAAACUAACUGAAAACAAAAAAUAAAGCCAUGUGCCCUAUUUCCCAUUUAUAAUAUUGUAUAACUGUACCACAACUCACACAAAAUCUACAGACUUGCAGUGGACAGAUAUUGAAGUGUAAUUAACUGUUUUGCUUACCCAAUAACCACAUGGAAGUUAACAAAUGUAUGCUUCACAUUUUAGAAAGUGGAACUGUAAUGUGUAUUAAUAAAAUUCUCAGUGCAAUUAAGUAAGCGCCAUGUCCCAUCUAAAGCAGCAUCACCUCACAACGCCAUCUAAAGGCAAAACUCUUGCAGUCAUGUUACUCAAAUUAGUGUGAUGGCUGUGGCUGUGACUGAAUACUGUCAGUGAGUGCCUUGAAGUCUGGCUCAUAGCUACAGACAGCCAGCCUGAGACAGUCAGUGAGGUGUUGGUCUGUAAGGCGGCUCCUGUACUUUGAUUUGAUUAUUUUCAUUUGUGAAAACGCCAUUUCAAAAAGAUGAGUGGAUCCAAAGUAGGCACUCACUAUUAGUGCACAUGCAGUGAGGAGAGGAUACUUCUCUUUGCUGACCAGUCUCCAAAAGCCACUGUCCCUUGAUCUGUUUUUCAGCACUAUGUCAUUUUGCAAAUCAACCAUCUCCAUGUCAACUCCACUUGGCAAAGCAAAUACCUGCUGGAAUCUGUCUGCUACCUGCUCUAUAUCAAUGGGCAGAAAUGGGUUUGAGAGGAAUGCAACAAUAUCUUCCAUGACGUCUAACUCAACAAAACUCCGAUUUAACUCAGUUGUCACUUUGUCCAGCUGGGCACAGUUCUGCUCAGGGUUAAAAAAAUCAUUUUUUUUAAUGGCGUGUGACAUUUUCUCCAAGUUUGGGAAGUGGGUCAGCCUCUUGUUCUUUAGGUGUGUGGUCCAAACACCCAGCUUGGCCUUGAACCUAUUCACUGCACAACUCAUGGGGCAGGUGUCUGUCUUUUCCCUGCAGCUCGUUGUUGAGUGUUGUGGUUGUGUUAAGUUUUGCCGUUAGGUCUGUCAAAAACCCCAGAUCCAGUAGCCACGCAUCAUCGGACAGUUCCUCGUGCUCCUCGUUCCUUGUUGACAAAAAAGUCUUUAUCUCAGGCAGCAAGUCAACAAAUCGCUGCAACACUUUGCCGCGACUCAACCCCCGGACUUCAGCGUG